RNAcentral lists this unclassified non-coding RNA (353 nucleotides) under soil metagenome. RNAcentral describes it as "partial contains 5.8S ribosomal RNA, internal transcribed spacer 2, and large subunit ribosomal RNA". The stretch from base 1 to 120 matches the Rfam family "5.8S ribosomal RNA", at positions 35 to 154 of the family's 154-position model. The record is from RNAcentral.
GAUGAAGAACGCAGUGAAAUGCGAUAAGUAAUGUGAAUUGCAGAAUUCAGUGAAUCAUCGAAUCUUUGAACGCACAUUGCGCCCACCAGUAUUCUAGCGGGCAUGCCUGUUCGAGCGUCAUUACAACCCUCAGGCCCCCGGGCCUGGCGUUGGGGAUCGGCGGAAGCCCCCUGCGGGCACAACGCCGUCCCCCAAAUACAGUGGCGGUCCCGCCGCAGCUUCCAUUGCGUAGUAGCUAACACCUCGCAACUGGAGAGCGGCGCGGCCACGCCGUAAAACACCCAACUUCUGAAUGUUGACCUCGAAUCAGGUAGGAAUACCCGCUGAACUUAAGCAUAUCAAUAAGCGGAGGA